This 66-nucleotide transfer RNA is filed under the name Formicarius rufipectus. RNAcentral describes it as "tRNA-Cys". Lineage: Eukaryota; Metazoa; Chordata; Aves; Passeriformes; Formicariidae. The record is from RNAcentral.
GGCCUUGUAGUGAAGUUCAUAUUGAGUUGCAAGCUCAUUGAUGUACAUUGGUAUGUACCGAGGUCU